AGAGAAGUGAGGGUGCACGGUGAAAACCUAGCCACCAAUCCCUCGCAUCCCUGAACAACCAAUCCGUCCGCUCCCCUCUUCCCCUGCCCUCCUCUGCGACGCCGCCUCCUCCCCUUCCCUCCUCUGCGUCGCCUCCUCCUCCCCUUCUCCCCUGCUCUCCACUGCACCGCCUCCUCCUCCCCUUCACUUUUCUCUCCCGGGGCGGCAACAACCUACAGGCAAAAGGCGACGGCGAUGUCGCUCAAUUUGAUCUGCAGGAGAGAGAGAAGGAAGGAGAGGAGGGAGAAAGGAAGAGGAAAGAGAAAAGGGAGGUGCGGCGACGGAUGGGUGAGGGUCACCGGAAGGAGCGCCGCCGGCUCGUCGCCUUUCACACCGAGGUGGAGCAAAUAUGUCUCUGUACAGCCCUCAUGCUCGCAGCUGUCGGCUGCAGGGGCCUUGCGAGAAGUGGAAGGUAGAGGUCGUACGCCAGCCGGAGCAACAGGAGCAAGGAUCUGGCGUCAUCUGCCUCCCGGUUGCACAACACCACUGCAUCUCCUUCCUGUUGUUGUUGGCGGCAUCCGCCUCUCAGUUGCAUGCUGCCACUGCAUCUCCUUCCUGUUUUAUUUUUAGAUUUUACAUGUUCAGCUAUAGGUUGGCUUGAUCUCUUGUGUCAGGGAGGUGCGAGGUUAGGCAUUUAGGCAAUGGCAGCCACAGUUUCAGUGAAGGAUGUCCAUGCCAUGUGCAAUGAGGGAUAGGCCAUCAGCACAACCGUCCUUUGGGUCCUGAUGAAAGUCACUGUCGGUGGCAGGGAAUUCGUUGCCGGAUGCGUCCUAUAUGUGAUGGGUGUGUUCCCAUCCAGUCGUUGGUGGGCUUGAUGUGCCCGUCGAUUCGACGAUCCGCGGGCCGAGCUCAGCUUCUCAGUGGCGGACUGAUGUUCUAUGGUAGUGGCAGUCAUUGUAUGUGGUGGUGCGGUUGCUGAUGUACAGGAGGCGUCCAUGGUGUCAGUUCUCCAUCGUCCAUGCUUAUCUUCUGUAUGCUCUAGCAGCCAGGUGGCUCAAGAAAUAGAAGACGCUCAUGUUCAUGUACGCUUAGAUUUUGCAUGGAGCUGAAGAAAUGAUCUGAACUUUAUGUUCUGCUGCUGACAAAUGACGAAUGCCGAAUAUAUGUAUCCAGUUGGUCCCUCAUCGCCGGGAGGACGGGCGAGGAGGUCGAGGCCCACUGGGGUUCACGAGGAGGCGCACGGGCGGCAAUCACUACAACCAUCAUGUGCUACUGCAGGCUUUCCUAGCCUCGUCACAUGAUCAACACGGCGAGCAUCGGCAAAGGGCAGUGCCAAACCAAGUACGCGAGGAGCGCCCGGGCCGUCCUUCACCCUCCAACAAUGGCGACAACGACUGUGCGUCAUGGGACGAACAUGGAGCUCACCCUCUCUACGCCGUGCAUCACAUCUACUUAAUUUGGAGGGUUACACCGGGUGUUUAUAUACUUCGGUCGAUGGUUUCCGUGCCUUGAGGAACAAUCCUAUUAUUGUACUAUGCGUACUGACUAUAUAUGUAUGACGCAUAAAUCCUCACAAGUUGGAACCCAUCACUGCUCAUGCUCGACCGUGACUCCACGCGCAAGGUCCGCCUAGCCACGCGUAGGUCACGCCGCCGGCUGUCGAGCCUCCUGUUCCACCCUGCAGUGUGUUCGAACAGCCGAAGCUGAGUAUGCGAAGAUUCAUCCCUGGCCCAUCCUUGUUCAACGCAUGGAAGCAAUGACUGCUGCUGGCUUUGAAGCUGGUUGAGGUUGCUGCUUGCCGUUGGUUGGAGCCUUGUAGGUAGAGGCCUUGCGGUGGUCCAAGAUUCUUACAUAGUGUUGUGCCUGGUUUCUUCUUGAAGGAUUUGCUGCGAAAGCUGGGAAUGUUAAGAGGAAUCUGCUUUGAGAGGUGUCGUAGUCUGAGAGGAAACGAUUUCUUCUAGGCCAGUGGUGUUCCUUUGCGCUAUAGCCAGUGCGCUAUCUCCUAGAACCUAUCAUGGAGGAGGUUGACAUCACAGACAAGUUCAUGCUUGAGGUCAUUUUCAUUAAGCUGCAGCUCGCGCAACCACUAUUUUUACUACUGCAAAGUUGGACAGAGUUUUGCAGUAACAAUCAAGUUCCGUCCCAGCACGCGGCAUCAGCAACAUGAUGCUGAAGCAAUGGCAUUAUCCGGAUAUUCAUCUAAUUCCAUAGAAGUUGCAACGGAUGUUGCAGCGGCUCGAGUUAUCAGAUACAUGGAGGCUGUGUGUGCCAAGGUGCUCAAGGACUAUAGUUACAACAAAUUGAAACAAACAAAGGAAAGAGAAUUGCAUCUAAUUGGUUUGUUAAUAGACAAAGAAAAGUAGAUCAAAGAGCAGAAUUGGAAGAUCAGAGAGCUUAGCAAAGGCUUUGCAGACAAUAUGUAUCAAGUUAAAACACUUUUGCUGGGAUUCAUCACAUAGCUAAAGACGGUGUAUACUCAACCAGUUCUACAAACGGCAAUGGCACCACAAGGCUGCUGUAGAUGUGCAGAAUGAACUUGCUCAUCUGCAGUAUGCAGUUGAUUGACUAAUGACUAUCCAGCUGAUUCGAAACACAUUGGUUUAUCCCUUUUAAAUAGAGUCUACUUCCAUAGCCUAUGUACCUUUGGAAGAUGCUUACCGGCUAUAACAACUUUAUUUAAAUGACCAGCGAUACCGCCUGCAUCUUACCGUGCUAACUAAUUAGCCUGUGAAGUUUUGUGUAUAGGUUCACCCAAAGAACAUGUUUACUUUUGGCAGUACUCUCUGGUCAUCAUGUUUACUCUACUAAGCUACCUAAAUAGCCUAUGAAGCUUUGUGUGUAUAGCUUCACCCUAAGAACCCGUUUGCUUUUGGCACUACUCUCUGGUCAUAUAUAAAUUUUGAAUGCAUGAUACUAUGUUGUAUCCAUGUGAUAUAUCUAUGCCGACUGAGUCUAC
Molecule: ribosomal RNA, 2935 nt
Filed under: Triticum aestivum (bread wheat)
Lineage: Eukaryota; Viridiplantae; Streptophyta; Magnoliopsida; Poales; Poaceae
Description: partial small subunit ribosomal RNA
Source: RNAcentral